This 370-nucleotide ribosomal RNA is filed under the name uncultured bacterium. RNAcentral's name for it is "bacterial SSU rRNA". It matches the Rfam family "Bacterial small subunit ribosomal RNA", at positions 966 to 1360 of the family's 1533-position model. The record is from RNAcentral.
CCUUACCAACCCUCGGGGGGCUUGUGGGGGCACAUCGGGAGAUAUUCUUUUGUUUUCGCUGGCCCAGUGACAGUUGCUUCAUUGCUGUCGUCAGCUCGUGUCGUGAGAUGUUCGGUUAAGUCCGGCAACGAGCGCAACCCACAUCCUUAGUUCCCAACAGUUCGCCGGGGCGCUCUAGAGAGAAGGCCCGUGAUAAGCGGGAGGAAGGUGUGGAUGACGUCAAGUCCUCAUGGCCCUUACGGGUUGGGCUACACACCUGCUACAAUGGCGAGACAGUGGGUAAAUCCCCAAAACCCAUCUCAGUUCGGAUUGCGGUCUGCAACUCGCCCCAUGAAGUGGGAAUCGCUAGAAUCGCGACACAGCAUGGCUC